CUCCAGAGAGAGAGAGAGAGAGAGAUGGAGAGGGGGAAGGUACUCCAGAGAGAGAGAGAGAUGGAGAGGGGGAAGGUACUCCAGAGAGAGAGAGAGAGAUGGAGAGGGGGAAGGUACUCCAGAGAGAGAGAUGGAGAGGGGGAAGGUACUCCAGAGAGAGAGAUGGAGAGGGGGAAGGUACUCCAGAGAGAGAGAUGGAGAGGGGGAAGGUACUCCAGAGAGAGAGAGAGCGACAGUGAUCUGAGACUAAAGGCUGUCUUUUCUAUUCUGCUGCGUCUGUCAGAGUUAAAGCAGCCAGCCAUCGAGGUGGAGAAUAUUCAGCACAAAUGUCCUGUCUCUACUCUGUGUCAGGACCAAAUCAUUCAUCAGACCGGAUCAUGCCAGAGGGAGUACGCAUUGGUUUAAAAUUACAUCAAAACAAGGGAAAUGUUACGCUCAUUUAGCAGGGUUGGGUCAUUUCUAUGAUAAAGGUGGAUGGGUGGAUGGGUUUAUGGGGUUUUGUCAGGCGGCAGCCUUGUGUGUCUUCACUCCCCUCUGGAUACUGGAGAUAAGAUUUAUAUGGAGAGUUAUGAAUGGAGGGAGGGAGGAGAGGAUGCUGGGAACUGGAGGGAGGAGAGGAUGCUGGGAACUAGAGGGAGGGAGGAUGCUGGGAACUGGAGGGAGGGAGGAGAGGAUGCUGGGAACUGGAGGGAGGGAGGAGAGAAUGCUGGGAACUAGAGGGAGGGAGGAUGCUGGGAACUGGAGGGAGGGAGGAGAGGAUGCUGGGAACUGGAGGGAGGAAGGAGAGGAUGCUGGGAACUGGAGGGAGGGAGGAGAGGAUGCUGGGAACUGGAGGGAGGGAGGAGAGGAUGCUGGGAACUAGAGGGAGGGAGGAGAGGAUGCUGGGAACUGGAGGGAGGGAGGAGAGGAUGCUGGGAACUAGAGGGAGGGAGGAGAGGAUGCUGGGAACUGGAGGGGGAGGAUGCUGGGAACUGGAGGGAGGAAGGAGAGGAUGCUGGGAACUGGAGGGAGGGAGGAGAGGAUGCUGGGAACUGGAGGGAGGGAGGAUAAUGGGAACUGGAGGGAGGAAGGAGAGGAUGCUGGGAACUGGAGGGAGGGAGGAGAGGAUGCUGGGAACUGGAGGGAGGGAGGAUGCUGGGAACUGGAGGGAGGGAGGAGAGGAUGCUGGGAACUGGAGGGAGAGAGGAAGAGGAUGCUGUAACUCGAGGGAGGAGAGGAUGCUGGGAACUGGAGGGAGGGAGGAGAGGAUGAUGGGAACUCGAGGGAGGAGAGGAUGCUGGGAACUGGUUAAGGAAAAGCUUCCAUUUCUCAUCUGUCAAAAAAUUUGACAGUUGAAGUUAUAUAAACUUCUCUUUGUAGAAAUAGAUGUUAUAUCUUGAGUGUAUUAGAACAUCUGCUGCGGUGUGACAGGUG
This 1413-nucleotide long non-coding RNA is filed under the name Salmo salar (Atlantic salmon). RNAcentral describes it as "lncRNA (ENSSSAG00000097674.1)". The record is from RNAcentral. Lineage: Eukaryota; Metazoa; Chordata; Actinopteri; Salmoniformes; Salmonidae.